Molecule: ribosomal RNA, 253 nt
Filed under: uncultured bacterium
Lineage: Bacteria
Description: partial 16S ribosomal RNA
Rfam family: Bacterial small subunit ribosomal RNA
Source: RNAcentral
UACGUAGGUGGCAAGCGUUGUCCGGAUUUAUUGGGUUUAAAGGGUGCGUAGGCGGCCCUGUAAGUCAGUGCUGAAAUAUCCCAGCUUAACUGGGAGGGUGGCAUUGAUACUGCGGGGCUAGAGUCCAGAUGAGGUAGGCGGAAUUGACGGUGUAGCGGUGAAAUGCUUAGAUAUCGUCAAGAACACCUAUAGCGAAGGCAGCUUACUAGGCUGUAACUGACGCUGAGGCACGAAAGUGUGGGGAUCAAACAGG